GGGGAAUAUUGGACAAUGGGCGAAAGCCUGAUCCAGCAAUGCCGCGUGAGUGAUGAAGGCCUUAGGGUUGUAAAGCUCUUUUACCAGGGAUGAUAAUGACAGUACCUGGAGAAUAAGCUCCGGCUAACUCCGUGCCAGCAGCCGCGGUAAUACGGAGGGAGCUAGCGUUGUUCGGAAUCACUGGGCGUAAAGCGCGCGUAGGCGGUUACUCAAGUCAGAGGUGAAAGCCCGGGGCUCAACCCCGGAACUGCCUUUGAAACUAGGUAACUAGAAUCUUGGAGAGGCGAGUGGAAUUCCGAGUGUAGAGGUGAAAUUCGUAGAUAUUCGGAAGAACACCAGUGGCGAAGGCGACUCGCUGGACAAGUAUUGACGCUGAGGUGCGAAAGCGUGGGGAGCAAAC
RNAcentral lists this ribosomal RNA (400 nucleotides) under uncultured bacterium. RNAcentral describes it as "bacterial SSU rRNA". It matches the Rfam family "Bacterial small subunit ribosomal RNA", at positions 356 to 773 of the family's 1533-position model. The record is from RNAcentral.